This 301-nucleotide ribosomal RNA is filed under the name uncultured bacterium. RNAcentral describes it as "partial 16S ribosomal RNA". It matches the Rfam family "Bacterial small subunit ribosomal RNA", at positions 509 to 809 of the family's 1533-position model. The record is from RNAcentral.
CAGCAGCCACGGUAAUACGUAGGAUCCGAGCGUUGUCCGGAAUUAUUGGGCGUAAAGGGCUCGUAGGCGGUUUGUUGCGUCGGGAGUGAAAACCAGGUGCUUAACACCUGGCCUGCUUUCGAUACGGGCAGACUAGAGGCAUUCAGGGGAGAACGGAAUUCCUGGUGUAGCGGUGAAAUGCGCAGAUAUCAGGAGGAACACCGGUGGCGAAGGCGGUUCUCUGGGCCGUAACUGACGCUGAGGAGCGAAAGCAUGGGGAGCGAACAGGAUUAGAGACCCCUGUAGUCCCUGUCUCUUAUAU